CAAGGAAUUUUCCACAAUGGGCGCAAGCCUGAUGGAGCAACGCCGCGUGCGGGAUGACGCCCUUCGGGGUGUAAACCGCUUUUCGAGGGGACGAAGGCAAUGACGGUACCCUCGGAAGAAGGAUCGGCUAACUACGUGCCAGCAGCCGCGGUAAGACGUAGGAUCCGAGCGUUGUCCGGAGUUACUGGGCGUAAAGCGCGCGCAGGCGGACCGAUACAUCGGCGGUGAAAGCCCCCCGCUCAACGGGAGAGGGUCCGUCGAGAUGGUCGGUCUGGAGGCAGGGAGAGGCCAGUGGAAUUCCGGGUGUAGUAGUGAAAUGCGUAGAGAUCCGGAGGAACACCAGUGGCGAAGGCGGCUGGCUGGACCUGACCUGACGCUGAGGCGCGAAGGCGUGGGGAGCGAACGGG
RNAcentral lists this ribosomal RNA (407 nucleotides) under Bacillota bacterium. Its description in RNAcentral is "Firmicutes bacterium partial 16S ribosomal RNA". It matches the Rfam family "Bacterial small subunit ribosomal RNA", at positions 355 to 776 of the family's 1533-position model. Lineage: Bacteria; Bacillati; Bacillota. The record is from RNAcentral.